RNAcentral lists this ribosomal RNA (403 nucleotides) under uncultured bacterium. RNAcentral describes it as "bacterial SSU rRNA". It matches the Rfam family "Bacterial small subunit ribosomal RNA", at positions 355 to 775 of the family's 1533-position model. The record is from RNAcentral.
UAGGGAAUAUUGGUAAUGGGCGAAAGCCUGAACCAGCAACGCCGCGUGUGCGAUGAAGGCCUUCGGGUCGUAAAGCACUUUUUGGAGGGAUGAGGAAGGACAGUACCUCCAGAAUAAGCCUCGGCUAACUACGUGCCAGCAGCCGCGGUAACACGUAGGAGGCAAGCGUUAUUCGGAUUUACUGGGCGUGAAGCGCGUGCAGGCGGUUCGGAAAGUUGGAUGUGAAAGCUCCUGGCUUAACUGGGAGAGGUCGUUCAAUACUUCCGGACUUGAGAGUGGGAGAGGGAGGUGGAAUUCCGGGUGUAGUGGUGAAAUGCGUAGAUAUCCGGAGGAACACCAGUGGCAAAAGCGGUCUCCUGGCCCAUUUCUGACGCUCAGACGCGAAAGCUAGGGUAGCAAACGG